Bos taurus (domestic cattle) is the source of this 1075-nucleotide long non-coding RNA. The record is from Ensembl. NCBI's taxonomy places the organism in Eukaryota, Metazoa, Chordata, Mammalia, Artiodactyla, Bovidae.
UUUCAGGCCCAGAGGAAAGGCCAUUGGUCUGGGGCUGCGUCCCUGCUUGCUCAGCACCCCCAAUGAGACAACCAUUCUCUCCCAGAAGGAUAACAAAAUUCUCAGCAAGUUUUGGAGAAUUCGAGAAAUUCGAGCACACGUUUAUAAACUAAAGGAAAAAUCUCUCUGCAGAGUAAACUGAUAACUGGAAAAGCAUUCCUGGAACCUGAUGCAAAUAGCUAACGCUGCCCGGCUCCCUCCCUGUUGAUGUGGCAGAGUUUGAAGCUGGCAGUCGUCAGCCAUUUGGUGGGAGGCCGUGGAUCCAGAGGAAACAAUGAGGAUGGAGAAAACUGAAAGGGAAUUUUUAAAGAGGGAGACAUUUUUGUUCCAGCAGUUUUUUACACAUUAUUUUGACCUUCUCUUUCUUGCCACUUAGUGAGGAAGAUAGCUAAUUAAAUGUUUGUGUUAUUGGAGGAGUUCUUUAAUGCUUAUAAAUGUAAGCAUUUGUAAUCUAAACCGAUUUGUAAUCUAAACAGAUGUCUGUUAACUAUUUUGUGCCUCCAAACAAAGGAGAAUCUUUGUGAAUGAAUGGGAGUGGGGGCUGGUGGGGUGGGACGGGGAAGAAAACUGACCCAAAGCCUAAACUGAGAGUCUUGGGGAUGGCUGUGAUGAUGUGGCUGAGUGAAGGGAAGCCUAGGUGACUGGGUGGGGGGAUUGGAGACCCAGUAGGAGGAAAAAAAAUAGUAAGAGACUAAAGCAGGAUCCAGGCAGAGAGCGGAGGAGGGGAGAUAAAGAAGAAAGGAGCUAGAUAGCAAAGACCUCUGGAUUUUGCUGUUAGGCAGUUAACACCUGGGUUCCUAUUCCUAAAUUGUUCUCCAUUGAAAAUAAGAUGAUCCCUUCAGCUCCCUACAGCUCUCAGUUUACAAAUCAGGCCACACCAUAAAGUUUGGCAAGAGGAGGGUCAAGAGACCCUCUGAUUGAAAAAAUCCAGAGCAGACCUGGAAGGGGAGGAUGCAGGGAAUGGAGGGAGGUGGUAGAUGUAUAAUCAUGGCUGAUCCUGUUGUAUGGCAGAAACCAACACAACACUGUACAGCAA